UACGUAGGGACCAAGCGUUGUUCGGAUUUACUGGGCGUAAAGGGCGCGUAGGCGGCGUGACAAGUCACUUGUGAAAUCUCCGGGCUUAACCCGGAACUGCCAAGUGAUACUGUCGUGCUAGAGUGCGGAAGGGGCAAUCGGAAUUCUCGGUGUAGCGGUGAAAUGCGUAGAUAUCGAGAGGAACACCUGAGGUGAAGACGGGUUGCUGGGCCGACACUGACGCUGAGUGCGCGAAAGCCAGGGGAGCAAACGGG
This 254-nucleotide ribosomal RNA is filed under the name uncultured bacterium. RNAcentral's name for it is "partial 16S ribosomal RNA". It matches the Rfam family "Bacterial small subunit ribosomal RNA", at positions 524 to 776 of the family's 1533-position model. The record is from RNAcentral.